Long non-coding RNA from Symphalangus syndactylus (siamang), 317 nucleotides. RefSeq lists it as uncharacterized. The record is from RefSeq and is a predicted model, not a curated record. NCBI's taxonomy places the organism in Eukaryota, Metazoa, Chordata, Mammalia, Primates, Hylobatidae.
GAAAAAGGAUGCGCAGAUCUUAAUCUCAGUGUCCCAAAGGAAGGACAGACUGUUCCAGCUGAAUCUGGGAUGAUCAAACACAUCUCAGCUGACAUAUUACCACCCACUGAGCAAUGGUAUGCAGAAAAAUAAGAUGCAAAGCAUGCUGUUCAGGAAACUGUGAGGAAGGAGCUACCUCCUAGCAGAUGCCUUGCUAAGUAUAACCACCUAUAGCUUCUACUCAACUGAUCUACAUUCAAGAUAGAUGCUGCUGCUGCUGCUGCUGCUGCUGCUAAUGACCUAUUAAGUACUUGUUUGGUGGAAGCCCUUUAUGUGCC